RNAcentral lists this ribosomal RNA (466 nucleotides) under Vreelandella stevensii. RNAcentral describes it as "partial 16S ribosomal RNA". It matches the Rfam family "Bacterial small subunit ribosomal RNA", at positions 337 to 795 of the family's 1533-position model. Lineage: Bacteria; Pseudomonadati; Pseudomonadota; Gammaproteobacteria; Oceanospirillales; Halomonadaceae. The record is from RNAcentral.
GCCUACGGGUGGCUGCAGUGGGGAAUAUUGGACAAUGGGCGAAAGCCUGAUCCAGCCAUGCCGCGUGUGUGAAGAAGGCCUUCGGGUUGUAAAGCACUUUCAGUGGGGAAGAAAGCCUUGGGGCUAAUACCCUCGAGGAAGGACAUCACCCACAGAAGAAGCACCGGCUAACUCCGUGCCAGCAGCCGCGGUAAUACGGAGGGUGCGAGCGUUAAUCGGAAUUACUGGGCGUAAAGCGCGCGUAGGCGGUCUGAUAAGCCGGUUGUGAAAGCCCCGGGCUCAACCUGGGAACGGCAUCCGGAACUGUCAGGAUAGAGUGCAGGAGAGGAAGGUAGAAUUCCCGGUGUAGCGGUGAAAUGCGUAGAGAUCGGGAGGAAUACCAGUGGCGAAGGCGGCCUUCUGGACUGACACUGACGCUGAGGUGCGAAAGCGUGGGUAGCAAACAGGAUUAGAUACCCCGGUAGUC